Molecule: ribosomal RNA, 117 nt
Filed under: Oscillospiraceae bacterium
Lineage: Bacteria; Bacillati; Bacillota; Clostridia; Eubacteriales; Oscillospiraceae
Source: RNAcentral
CUUAGUGGCGAUAGCGCGGAGGGUACACCUGUUCCCAUACCGAACACAGCAGUUAAGCUCCGUAGCGCCGACAAUACUUGGCGGGCGACCGCCCGGGAACAUAGGACGCUGCUAAGA